This 465-nucleotide ribosomal RNA is filed under the name uncultured Klebsiella sp. RNAcentral's name for it is "bacterial SSU rRNA". It matches the Rfam family "Bacterial small subunit ribosomal RNA", at positions 338 to 795 of the family's 1533-position model. Lineage: Bacteria; Pseudomonadati; Pseudomonadota; Gammaproteobacteria; Enterobacterales; Enterobacteriaceae. The record is from RNAcentral.
CCUACGGGCGGCAGCAGUGGGGAAUAUUGCACAAUGGGCGCAAGCCUGAUGCAGCCAUGCCGCGUGUGUGAAGAAGGCCUUCGGGUUGUAAAGCACUUUCAGCGGGGAGGAAGGCGUUAAGGUUAAUAACCUUGUCGAUUGACGUUACCCGCAGAAGAAGCACCGGCUAACUCCGUGCCAGCAGCCGCGGUAAUACGGAGGGUGCAAGCGUUAAUCGGAAUUACUGGGCGUAAAGCGCACGCAGGCGGCCUGUCAAGUCGGAUGUGAAAUCCCCGGGCUCAACCUGGGAACUGCAUUCGAAACUGGCAGGCUAGAGUCUUGUAGAGGGGGGUAGAAUUCCAGGUGUAGCGGUGAAAUGCGUAGAGAUCUGGAGGAAUACCGGUGGCGAAGGCGGCCCCCUGGACAAAGACUGACGCUCAGGUGCGAAAGCGUGGGGAGCAAACAGGAUUAGAUACCCGUGUAGUC